GACGAGAAGCUUGCUUCUCUGAUGUUAGCGGCGGACGGGUGAGUAACACGUGGAUAACCUACCUAUAAGACUGGGAUAACUUCGGGAAACCGGAGCUAAUACCGGAUAAUAUUUUGAACCGCAUGGUUCAAAAGUGAAAGACGGUCUUGCUGUCACUUAUAGAUGGAUCCGCGCUGCAUUAGCUAGUUGGUAAGGUAACGGCUUACCAAGGCAACGAUGCAUAGCCGACCUGAGAGGGUGAUCGGCCACACUGGAACUGAGACACGGUCCAGACUCCUACGGGAGGCAGCAGUAGGGAAUCUUCCGCAAUGGGCGAAAGCCUGACGGAGCAACGCCGCGUGAGUGAUGAAGGUCUUCGGAUCGUAAAACUCUGUUAUUAGGGAAGAACAUAUGUGUAAGUAACUGUGCACAUCUUGACGGUACCUAAUCAGAAAGCCACGGCUAACUACGUGCCAGCAGCCGCGGUAAUACGUAGGUGGCAAGCGUUAUCCGGAAUUAUUGGGCGUAAAGCGCGCGUAGGCGGUUUUUUAAGUCUGAUGUGAAAGCCCACGGCUCAACCGUGGAGGGUCAUUGGAAACUGGAAAACUUGAGUGCAGAAGAGGAAAGUGGAAUUCCAUGUGUAGCGGUGAAAUGCGCAGAGAUAUGGAGGAACACCAGUGGCGAAGGCGACUUUCUGGUCUGUAACUGACGCUGAUGUGCGAAAGCGUGGGGAUCAAACAGGAUUAGAUACCCUGGUAGUCCACGCCGUAAACGAUGAGUGCUAAGUGUUAGGGGGUUUCCGCCCCUUAGUGCUGCAGCUAACGCAUUAAGCACUCCGCCUGGGGAGUACGACCGCAAGGUUGAAACUCAAAGGAAUUGACGGGGACCCGCACAAGCGGUGGAGCAUGUGGUUUAAUUCGAAGCAACGCGAAGAACCUUACCAAAUCUUGACAUCCUUUGACAACUCUAGAGAUAGAGCUUUCCCCUUCGGGGGACAAAGUGACAGGUGGUGCAUGGUUGUCGUCAGCUCGUGUCGUGAGAUGUUGGGUUAAGUCCCGCAACGAGCGCAACCCUUAAGCUUAGUUGCCAUCAUUAAGUUGGGCACUCUAAGUUGACUGCCGGUGACAAACCGGAGGAAGGUGGGGAUGACGUCAAAUCAUCAUGCCCCUUAUGAUUUGGGCUACACACGUGCUACAAUGGACAAUACAAAGGGCAGCGAAACCGCGAGGUCAAGCAAAUCCCAUAAAGUUGUUCUCAGUUCGGAUUGUAGUCUGCAACUCGACUACAUGAAGCUGGAAUCGCUAGUAAUCGUAGAUCAGCAUGCUACGGUGAAUACGUUCCCGGGUCUUGUACACACCGCCCGUCACACCACGAGAGUUUGUAACACCCGAAGCCGGUGG
RNAcentral lists this ribosomal RNA (1379 nucleotides) under Staphylococcus aureus. RNAcentral describes it as "bacterial SSU rRNA". It matches the Rfam family "Bacterial small subunit ribosomal RNA", at positions 69 to 1433 of the family's 1533-position model. Lineage: Bacteria; Bacillati; Bacillota; Bacilli; Caryophanales; Staphylococcaceae. The record is from RNAcentral.